AUAAUACUUAAAAAUAAUCCUGCUGCAUCAGCAAGCAAUCCCUGUGUUGUCAGCGCAAGGCUUUGGUGGACACAUGAUCAUACAGCCUGGUGGGAAGUUGAUGAAGAGAACUGUCCCUAACUCUAGACUAACGUCACUGCCUUCAGUACCCUGGACCUGAGGACUGUGAAAAGCAAGGGGUCCGCAUAGAGGAGAGAAGAGACACAGCAGAUUCAAGUAUUGGAGGGAUUUACCUGUGCCGGUCACCUGAGGAGCUGCAGCUGCUGUCCUUCUGCUGCCAUCGGAGUCCCCCCCACCUCUUCCCACCAUGUCAAUGGCUAGUGGGCCUUGGCAGGUCAAGAUUCAUAUGGUUCAGCAAAAUAAUUUGAGGGGAGAGAGAAUAUUGCACUGA
Molecule: long non-coding RNA, 391 nt
Organism: Canis lupus familiaris (dog)
Lineage: Eukaryota; Metazoa; Chordata; Mammalia; Carnivora; Canidae
Exons: 3
Source: RefSeq, a predicted model, not a curated record